RNAcentral lists this ribosomal RNA (423 nucleotides) under Verrucomicrobiota bacterium. RNAcentral describes it as "Verrucomicrobia bacterium partial 16S ribosomal RNA". It matches the Rfam family "Bacterial small subunit ribosomal RNA", at positions 355 to 776 of the family's 1533-position model. Lineage: Bacteria; Pseudomonadati; Verrucomicrobiota. The record is from RNAcentral.
UGAGGAAUAUUGGUCAAUGGGCGAGAGCCUGAACCAGCCAAGUAGCGUGCAGGAUGACGGCCCUAUGGGUUGUAAACUGCUUUUAUAUGGGAAUAAAGUGAGGGACGUGUCCCUUAUUGCAUGUACCAUACGAAUAAGGACCGGCUAAUUCCGUGCCAGCAGCCGCGGUAAUACGGAAGGUCCAGGCGUUAUCCGGAUUUACUGGGCGUAAAGGGUGCGUAGGUGGUCUUUCAAGUCGGUGGUUAAAGGCUACGGCUCAACCGUAGUUAGCCUCCGAAACUGGAAGACUUGAGUGCAGGAGAGGAAAGUGGAAUUCCCAGUGUAGCGGUGAAAUGCGUAGAUAUUGGGAGGAACACCAGUAGCGAAGGCGGCUUUCUGGACUGCAACUGACACUGAGGCACGAAAGCGUGGGUAGCAAACAGG